Pan troglodytes (chimpanzee) is the source of this 7494-nucleotide RNA transcript. It is a transcript of the gene named XRCC1 N-terminal domain containing 1, N-terminal like, with no coding region annotated. The record is from RefSeq and is marked validated. The transcript is spliced from 8 exons. NCBI's taxonomy places the organism in Eukaryota, Metazoa, Chordata, Mammalia, Primates, Hominidae.
ACACGCAAAUGUAUUUUCCUGGCUGCAGCACCUGCCAUCUUGCCUCGGUAGGACUCAUUUUCAAAAACAGCAGCUUCUUGAAGCCCCAGAACGCAUUCCUGUGUUACGGAAGACGGAAGAGUAGCUCUCGGGGUCAGAAGGCGAAGGUCAGAAGGCCGAAUUGGCGGGAGAAUAGGUUUGGUGGUCCGAGAUCCGAGGCAACGGUGGCUCCUCGAGGUCCACGGUCCCGGAGAUGGGAUUUCGCCAUGUUGCCCAGGCUGAUCUUGAACUCCUGGGCUGAAGAUAUCCACCCUCCUUGGCCUCCCAGUGUGCUGGGAUUAUAGGCCUGAGCCACCAUGCCUGGCCCGAGUGUUCAUUGAUGAUGAGAGAUGGGCUUUUCGCAUCAAAUCACAAAAAUAUGCUGAGUAAUGUGAGGAUUCUUGCUUUUCUGGAAGCUAACACAUAGUCAGUGCCAAAGUAGUGACAGAAGAAAUCUUGGGAGGAAGCAUUUUUGUCUUGUACUUGAAACAGCUGCUGGGCCCACCAUGGCUCCUGUGAAGAUCAGCCAUGUGGUAUCAUUUUCUUCUCAGGAUCCCAAGUAUCCUGUAGAGAACUUGCUAAACCCAGAUAGUCCAAGGAAACCUUGGCUCAGCUGCCCUCAGGACAAGAGUGGGCAAUUGAAAGUAGAACUACAGCUGGAGAGGGCAGUGCCCAUUGGCUACAUUGAUGUGGGUAACUGUGGCUGUGCGUUCCUGCAAAUUGAUGUGGGCCGUUCUUCCUGGCCCCUGGACAGACCUUUCAUAACCCUGCUCCCUGCAACCACGCUAAUGUCUCUAACUGAUUCAAAGCAGGGGAAGAACCGCUCCGGGGUCCGCAUGUUUAAAGAUGUUGAUUUCCUGGCUCCAGCCUCAGGAGAGUUAUGGGAUCGACUUCGCCUGACCUGCUCCCAACCCUUCACGCGUCAUCAGUCCUUUGGCCUGGCCUUUCUACGGGUGCGUUCUUCUCUGGACUCCUUAGAUGACUCUGUGGUGGGUCCGUCAGCCCUUGUGAGCUCUGUGCUGAACAAGAGCUCACGCAGCGGGCGCCCACGAUCAGCUUAAUCAUCACUCACUUCCAUCGGAUCAACUGGAAAACAAGUCAGAUGAGAGUGCUGAGUCUCAGAGGAUGGACAUCUCACCCCUUGCCAUACAGAGAAGUAGAAAGUGUGGUAUUCAAAAUUCAUGGCCAGACUCGAAGUCCCGAGUACUAUACUUCCUGUUCUUCCAACUCUCAAAAAGUUGUGGGUUUUUUUUGUUUUUGUUUUUGUUGUUUUGAGACGGAGUCUCAUUCCGUUGCCCAGGCUGGAGUGCAGUGGAGUGAUCUCAGCUCACCACAACCUGUGCAUCCCAGGUUCAAGCUAUUCUCCUGCCUCAGCCUGCCAGGUGGCUGAGAUGACAGGCGCCCGCCACUACGCCUGGCUCAUUUUUUCUAUUUUGAAUAGAGACCUGGUUUCACCAUGUUGGCCAGGCUGGUCCCGAAUUCCUGACCUUGUGAUUCGCCUGCCUCAGCCUCCCAAAGGGCUGGGAUUACAGGCGUGAGCCACCGCUCCCAGCUUCCAAAAGUCUUAAGCAGAGCUCAGAGGUCUUAACCACAGGCACAUCGGAGGAGCAUUUUUGAAACGCUUUCCAGCUUCCUCAAUAGGAAUGGAAGCCAAACUCCGAAUUGAUGACUCCUUUGAGGAAGUCAAGAGCUGUACGGAAAGCCAGGAACAGGGGCAAGGGAGAGAUGCAUCCCGAAUGAUCCUGUGCCAAUUCUUUCUGGAAUCCUUGAUGUGAUCUCAGCUGUCCUUUUCAUACUUGACACAGUGAUUGUGGCACCCACUGGUCUAGCUGUGGUCUACAAGGAACCCCCAAAGGGAAGGGCACAGUGAGCAGGGGCAUCCGCCUGAGUGACGACGAUUUGAGAGGGCAGGUUGGUUGCAGGGAGAGGACUGGCCAAAUGCCAUGUGUCUGGACUUAGACUGCAUGGUUCAAAAUAGACUUCACCCUUUUUGACUUCGUGAUCUAGUAUGAGUUAUAUGAAAAGGCGUUGCUCCUUUUCUAGUCUGUAAAAUCAUCCUGAAAUGUGCACUAAUAACGUGGAGACUAUGCAGAUGAAAUGAAACAAGCAGCAUAGAACACAGAGCUCAGAACCUGACCUUUAGGAAGCCCUCAGUAAGGGUUCAUGAGGCCAUGGUGUCUGUCGUCAUCCUCUUUAUCCUCAUCAUCACCUUCAUAAUCUGUUUGUUGUUCUUAGGGAAUAGUUUAGAGGGACUGAUUCCAUGCUAUCAUGGGUGAGAUGUCUAUGAAAAGGACAACCAGUGGGGGAGGAAAGCAAAAUUUUGAAUAAGAUUUCUGAGACCCCCAGCACAACCAAGAACAGAAACUGCACAGUCUGCUGAGCGGACAGUUUGCACAUUGGUCUCCUCCCAUCUGCCCACCACACUCUCCUGUGUGUCCUGAGGAGGAGGAAACCAAACAAGGCUCCUGAACGUCCCUCAGCACUCACUUGAAGGGGUGGCCUGCCCCUCCACACCUGUGGGUAUUUCUAGUCGGGUGGGAUGAGAGACUGAGGAAAGAAAUAAGACACAGAGACAAAGUAUAGAGAAACGACAGUGAGCCCAGGGGACCGGCGCUCAGCAUACCAAGGACCUGCACCGGCACCGGCCUCUGAGUUCCCUCAGUUUUUACUGAUUAUUAUUUUUAUUAUUUUAGCAAAAAGGAAUGUAGUAGGAGGGCAGGGUGAUAAUAAGGAGAAGGUCAGCAAUGAACAUGUGAGCAAUAGAAUCUAUAUCAUAAUGAAGUUCAAGGGAAGGUACUAUGACUGGACAUGUACGUAAGCCAGAUUUAUGUUUCUCUCCACCCAAACAUCUCAGCGGAGUAAAGAAUAACAAGGCAGCAUUGCUGCAAACAUGUCUCACCUCCCACCAUAGGGCGGUUUUUCCCCCAUCUCAGAAUUGAACAAAUGUACAAUCGGGUUUUAUACCGAGACAUUCAGUUCCCAGGGGCAGGCAGGAGACAGGGGCCUUCCUCUCUCUCAACUGCAAGAGGCUUUCCUCUUUGACUAAUCCACCUCAGCACAGACCCUUUACGGGUGUCGGGCUCGGGGACGGUCAGGUCUUUCUCAUCCCACGAGGCCACUUUUCAGACUAUCACAUCAGGAGAAACCUUGGACAAUACGCCGCUUUCAAAGGCAGGGCUCCCUGCGGCUUUCCACAGUGUAUCGUGCCCCUGGUUUAUUGAGACUAGAGAAUGGCGAUGACUUUUACCAAGUAUACUGCUUGGAAACAUCUUGUUAACAAGGCACGUCCUGCACAGCCCUAGAUCCCUUAAACCUUGAUUUCAUACGACACAUGUUUUUGUGAGCUUCAGGUUGGGUCAAAGUGGCUGGGGCAAAGCUACACAUUAACAACAUCUCAGCAAAGCAAUUGUUGAAAGUACAGGUCUUUCUCCAAAUGGAGUCUCUUAUGUCUUUCCUUUCUACAUAGACACAGUAAGAGUCUGAUCUCUCUUUCUUUUCCCUACACUCACUGAACUGCCCUUCCCCUCUGCUGGGCCAUGACUGCGGAGAACAGGUCCACUGUCCUCCCUGUGUGGUGCACCAUGGAGGCUCAGACUCCGUCCUCAAGGCUGGCAAGAAGACAGGGUGAGACGUGAGCCUCCUGAUACAGGUGACGGGAGUGGAGCCCCCAGGACUGGAACCUCACACUGCAGGGCUGGAGGCACAGACUGAGGAUUUACUAUUCUGUGGCCUGGGUGGCUCAAGGCACAGAGCUCCUUCUUAGCCAAGGUCACCCAAUUUCCCCAACCUCUAAGGAUGUCCUUAUAAUAAUGCAAGAAGAAGAAGAGAAAAGACUGAUAAAGCUAAAAUGAGACUCCCAGGGUAUGGCCCUCAUGCGAUAUGGCUGAUGUCCUUAUUAGAAGAGGAAGAGACACCAGGAAUGCAUGUGCACAAAAAAAUGCCAUAAGAGGACAUGGCAAGAAGGCAACCAGCUGCAAGCCAAGACAGGCCUCAGGAGAAACCAAAUGUGCUGACAUCUUGAUCUUAGACUUAUAACUUCCAGAACUGUGAGAAAAUGAACUUUUGUUACUUAAGGCACCCAUUCUGUGGUACUUUAUUAUGAUAACCCUAUAGCAAUGCAAGAAUGGCCUAAUACAUCUAUAUUUAUAUUGGACAAAAUUGACUUUAAGUGAAAAAACAUAAAAAGAGACAAAGAAGGCCAUCAUAUAAUAAUAAAAGGGCCAAUCCAGCAAGAGGAUAUAAAAAUUCCAAAUAUGUAUAUAUAUGUACCCAGUAGUGGAAUAGAUGUAUUAAAAAUGUCAUUAGAGCUAAAGAGAGAGAUACACCUUAACAUCAUGAUAACUGAGGGCUUCAAUACCCCACUUUCAGCAUUGAACAGAUCAUCUAGGUAGAAAGCUAACAAAUCAUCAUCAAAUUUAAUCUGUACCACAGACCAAAUAGACUUAACAGACAUUUACACAACAUUUCAUCCAAUAGCUGUGGAGUACACAUUCUUCUCCUCAUCACAUAGAACAUUCUCCAGGCUAGACCAUAUGUUAAGACACAAAACAAGUUUCAACAAAUUUUGAAAAAUCAACAUUAUAUCAAGUAUAUUCUAGACAAAAAUAGAAUAGAACUAGAAAUGAAUACUAGGAAGAACUUUGGAAACUAUACAGAUAACAUGGAAAUUAAACAACAUGCUUCUGAACAACCAUUGAGUCAAUGAAAAAACUCAGAAGAAAAUAACAAAUGUUCUUGAAAUAAAUGCAAAUGGAAACACAACAUACCAAAACCUAUGGAAUACAACAAAGACAGUGCUAAGAGAGAAUUUUACAGCAAUAAAUGCCUACUGCAAGAACAUAGUAAGAUUAUAAACAAGCUACUAUGCACCUCAAGGAACAAGAAAAACAAGAAAAAAUGAAAUCCAAACUUAGGAGAAGGAAAGAAAUAAUAAAAAUCAGAGCAGGACUAAGUGAAUUCGAGAUUUAAAAAAUUCAAAGAAUUAAUGAAACAAAAAGUUGACUUUUGGAAGAGAUAAACAGACUUUAUAAACUGCUAGCUAGACUAACCAAGAACAAAAGAGAGAAUGCCAAAUAAAUAAAAUCAGAAAUAAAACAGGAGACAUUACAACUGAUAUAAAAGAAACACAAUGGAUCAUUAGAGUCUGUUAUAAACAACCAUAUGCUAAAUAAUUCAUAUGAUGAAAUUUUUUUACCAACACCAAUAAUCAAUCUAACUUUCCCAAAUUAAUUUUAAAAUCCACCAAUACUUUAUAAUAAAUACAUAUUAAACUGUGGUUUAUACCUGAGAUUUAGAUUAUCAAUUGACUUAUUUAUCUUUUCUGAGGCACAUGUUACCUCAGAGCACAUUUUAAAAUUUAUUUCAAGAUUCCAUCAUUUAUAUAAUUAUACAGAAUUAUACUUUUCCUCCGUGAAUGUUGGUGUUUUAUAUUUUUAUUGAGAUAGAAUUUACUAUAAAAUUCAUUCCUUUAGAGUGUUCCAUUUAGUGAGUAUCAGUGGAUUCUUAAAGUGGGAUAUACUGAUGACCACUGAAUGAAGGAAUGAGGUACGAAUCUAUGCCACAACAUGGAUGAAUCUUGAAAACAUUAUGCUAAAUGAAAGAAGGCAGACAUGAAGGAUCACAUAUUUAUUAUUCUGUUCAUAGUAAAUGUCCAGAAUAGGAAUAUACAUAGAGACAAAAAUUAGAUCAGUGGUUGCUAGGGACUGGGAGGAGGAGAGAUUUCUUCUUGUGCUUAUAAACAUAUUCUGGAAUUAGAUAAUGGUGAGGGGUGCACAAUUUUAAGAAUACACUGAUAACCACUGAAUAGAACACUUUAAGGCAAUGAAUUUUAUGGUAAAUUUUAUCUCAAUAAAAAUAUAAAAAACCCACUAGCAUUCAUGGGGGAAAGGCAUAAUUAUUUAUAAUUAUAUAAAUAAGGGAAUCUUGAAUCAUGAAGUAUUAUAUAAAUGAGGGAAUCUUGAAUUGUGAAGUAUUAAAAUGUGCUUCAGAAAUGAUCAAUAAGUCAACCAGUAAUCUAAAUCUCAGGUAUGAACCACAGUUUAAUAUGUUUUUAUUAUGGGGUAUUGAUGAAUUUUAAAAUUAAUUUGGGAAAGUCAUAUUGAUUAUUUAAUAAAUAUGCCUAUAUAUAAUUGGCUAGUUUUGUGGUUAAAAAUUAAGGUGGAAUCUUAACUCUCACCAUACAAAAAGUAAUUUCCAUAUACAUUAAAUGAUAUCAUAUGAGUUUUAUUCAACUUUAAAGGAACACAGAGGCUAGGUCCUUGCCUGGAUCAGUGGUGAAUUUAUCCUGUGAACCAAGGAUUAUGGUGGAGUAUCCACCUCUUCACCUCUAGCCCUUCUUCUAGUCAUCAUUCGCUUUUCAUUUUUCCAAUUCUUUAAAUUUCCUGUGUUCUGUGUGCAUCCUCUCACCAUCUUUUGAUCAAACACAACUCUCAAGUAAUUUUAUUUUUUUUAUGAUUAUUUUUUGAGACAGGGUCUCACUCUGUUGCCCAGGCUGGUGUGCAGUGGCAUGAACUAAGCUGAAUGCAGCCUUGACAUCUCAGGCUCAAGCGAUCCUCCUGCCUAAGCUUCCUGAGCAGCCAGAACCACAGGCACGCACCACUAUACCUGACUAAUUUUUUGUAUAUAUAUAUAUUUUUUGUAGAGAUGUGGUUUCACCCUGUUGCCCCCACCGGGCUGGUCUAGAACUCCUGAGCUCACCCACCUCAAACUCCCCAAAUGCUGGGAUUAUAGACAUGAGCCACUGUGCCCGGCCUCAAGUGAGUUUAUCAUAGGUUAAAUCACUGCAGUGAACCACCUUAUUUAUUUCUUUAGUAUCAACUCUUCAGUCUCUUGAGCAGCCUUCAUGGUACAGUAAAAUCUGCCCAUGCCUAAUUUAUUUUCAGACUCUUGAAAGACCUUGCAUUUUCUUUUACUUACAUUUUUAGAACUUUGGAAUAAAAAAGUUUCUGUCUUACUUGGAGGAACUGUGGACAUCAAGGAAAGGACUCCAAAGACAAAAAACAAGACCCUCAUGGUUGAAUAGGUAAAGCAGGUUAGAGAGAAUCAGUAGCUGAGAUGAAGAGGACUUCUGUGUACAUUCAGUCCUCUGAAGAGGUGAGUUGCUGAGUAAUUAUUGAGCCUUUCAGGAGCAAGAACAUUUCUGUGUUUCAAUGAGAUUUUAUAUCAGGAGACAGCAUGCAAUCAUCAUGACUAUCAGUCAUUUAAAGUACAUUUAUCAAAGGUCAACAGGGUGUGUGCAAAGGUAGUAGAAAGCACAGCCAUGGCAAAGGCAGGAGAGAGACUUGAAAUAUCAGCAUUGUCUUAUGCAUUCUGGAGGAACUGUAAAAGUUAAGGAAGCAGUUAUAGAGGAAAAGCAUUCAUUUUAUUUUUCUGAUAAUGGGAAGAACCAUGUAAUACAACAGCAUGCCUAUUUAUUACUAUUUUGGCACCGUGUGUUAGCAUGCUUAAGCAAUGGAAUUAAAUGUGGAAUUAUAAACA